GAUGGGCAUCUUCCACAGGUUCUCUGGCAGUAAGUGUUGACAAAGCUUUGCAUUCCAA
Molecule: small RNA, 58 nt
Filed under: Caenorhabditis elegans
Lineage: Eukaryota; Metazoa; Nematoda; Chromadorea; Rhabditida; Rhabditidae
Description: Unclassified non-coding RNA T05B4.18
Source: RNAcentral